UGAGAGGAGCUUGCUUUUCUCAGCUUAGUGGCGAACGGGUGAGUAACGCGUGAGUAACCUGCCCUGGAGUGGGGGACAACAGUUGGAAACGACUGCUAAUACCGCAUAAGCCCACGGAUCCGCAUGGAUCUGCGGGAAAAGGAUUUAUUCGCUUCAGGAUGGACUCGCGUCCAAUUAGCUAGUUGGUGAGGUAACGGCCCACCAAGGCGACGAUUGGUAGCCGGACUGAGAGGUUGAACGGCCACAUUGGGACUGAGACACGGCCCAGACUCCUACGGGAGGCAGCAGUGGGGGAUAUUGCACAAUGGGGGAAACCCUGAUGCAGCGACGCCGCGUGGAGGAAGAAGGUUUUCGGAUUGUAAACUCCUGUCGUUAGGGACGAUAAUGACGGUACCUAACAAGAAAGCACCGGCUAACUACGUGCCAGCAGCCGCGGUAAAACGUAGGGUGCAAGCGUUGUCCGGAAUUACUGGGUGUAAAGGGAGCGCAGGCGGACCGGCAAGUUGGAAGUGAAAACUAUGGGCUCAACCCAUAAAUUGCUUUCAAAACUGCUGGCCUUGAGUAGUGCAGAG
This 572-nucleotide ribosomal RNA is filed under the name uncultured Lachnospiraceae bacterium. RNAcentral's name for it is "bacterial SSU rRNA". It matches the Rfam family "Bacterial small subunit ribosomal RNA", at positions 70 to 656 of the family's 1533-position model. The record is from RNAcentral. Lineage: Bacteria; Bacillati; Bacillota; Clostridia; Lachnospirales; Lachnospiraceae.